GACGAACGCUGGCGGCGUGCUUAACACAUGCAAGUCGAACGGAAAGGCCCUGCUUUUGUGGGGUGCUCGAGUGGCGAACGGGUGAGUAACACGUGAGUAACCUGCCCUUGACUUUGGGAUAACUUCAGGAAACUGGGGCUAAUACCGGAUAGGAGCUCCUGCUGCAUGGUGGGGGUUGGAAAGUUUCGGCGGUUGGGGAUGGACUCGCGGCUUAUCAGCUUGUUGGUGGGGUAGUGGCUUACCAAGGCUUUGACGGGUAGCCGGCCUGAGAGGGUGACCGGACUCAUGAGGGCGGCGGUCCGGACGAGAGUCAGGCGGUGGGCAGGAGUGGGUAGUGUGGCACACUGGGGGGAAGCCUGAGGCAGCGAGGGCGGGGGGGGGAUGUCGGCCUUCGGUGUGAAACCCGCGUGGGCCGGGGGCGGGGCGGGGGGGCCGGAAAGGAGUAAAGAAGCGCCGGUUACCAAGGUCAGAGCAGUCGGGGGAACAGAGGGAAGAGCCCCCGUCUGAGC
This 509-nucleotide ribosomal RNA is filed under the name uncultured bacterium. Its description in RNAcentral is "partial 16S ribosomal RNA". The stretch from base 18 to 368 matches the Rfam family "Bacterial small subunit ribosomal RNA", at positions 45 to 394 of the family's 1533-position model. The record is from RNAcentral.